UGUAACGGAGGGAGUCGGUGACGACACCUUCCGGGACGUGUAGUGGCCAGUACUUCGCCCAUAUUCGACCAUUGGGAUACCUGAUAUCAGAUUAUGGCUGAACAACAAACAAUUAAUCAAAUAAAACUAUAUUUUAUUCACAAAUGUACAAUAAUUGCAUUAAACAAAGUCGGAAAUAAACAGGAGUCAGAAAACUUUCUAAACUGAAGUUCAAAAAUAAAGUAAUUUCAAAUGUAAAAUGAAAAAUAGAG
This 251-nucleotide long non-coding RNA is filed under the name Mytilus galloprovincialis (Mediterranean mussel). Lineage: Eukaryota; Metazoa; Mollusca; Bivalvia; Mytilida; Mytilidae. The record is from RNAcentral.